Molecule: ribosomal RNA, 245 nt
Filed under: uncultured Faecalibacterium sp.
Lineage: Bacteria; Bacillati; Bacillota; Clostridia; Eubacteriales; Oscillospiraceae
Description: partial 16S ribosomal RNA
Rfam family: Bacterial small subunit ribosomal RNA
Source: RNAcentral
AACGUAGGUGGCAAGCGUUGUCCGGAAUUACUGGGUGUAAAGGGAGCGCAGGCGGGUCUGCAAGUUGGAAGUGAAACUCAUGGGCUCAACCCAUGAACUGCUUUCAAAACUGCGGAUCUUGAGUGGUGUAGAGGUAGGCGGAAUUCCCGGUGUAGCGGUGGAAUGCGUAGAUAUCGGGAGGAACACCAGUGGCGAAGGCGGCCUACUGGGCACUAACUGACGCUGAGGCUCGAAAGCAUGGGUAG